Molecule: long non-coding RNA, 1969 nt
Organism: Pelodiscus sinensis (Chinese soft-shelled turtle)
Lineage: Eukaryota; Metazoa; Chordata; Testudines; Trionychidae
Source: RefSeq, a predicted model, not a curated record
AUCUCAAAGUGCUUCCCAAACAUUAGUUAACCCUUCACUCUUGGGUCACUGCCCCAUGUAGUGGCACAUAGACCACUUACAGCAAGAGCUAAGCUCCAGGGAGCUCUACCAUUAAGCUAAGCACUAGCUAGCUUUAUAGCUCAAGCUGUAGAGGCUCCUCCACUGAGAUCCCAAGUUCACAUCUGCCCAGUGGCACUUACAUAUGCUUAGGAAAACAUCUGCAAAGCUCCUUCAUUACCCACCUUCACAUGCCUCCUCAAAACUCUUGUGCCAUGCUGCCUAAAAAAAGCUUGACUACAGUUGGGCUGUUUGGGAACUGCCUACCCUAUGGACCAAUGUUGUUUAUUUAUCCUCCCCCUUCUGUCUGUAUCCAUCUGUUAUCAGUGUUUUAGAGUACAAUGGUCUCUUGGGAAAGAGACCAUCUUUCGAUUCUGUGUUCAUGCAGCACCUAGCACGAAGGGGCCUUGCUCUAGGACAAGGCCUCCUGGGGUACAGUAAUAUAAAUAGCAAAUCAUAAUGAAGCUCAACCCUCACUAUGCAUAUUAUGUCCAUUUUACAGAUGGGACAACUGAGGUACAAAGCGGUGGACUGAUUUGUCUAAGGCCUCACAGUGAGGUGGAAAGCUGGGAUUAGAACCCAGUCUUUUCAGGGGGAUAAGGCAGAAUGCCACAUUUAUUGGUAGCACAUAUAUCCAUCAACACUGUUUCAUAUGCAUAUGAUAUAUGACAUACACACACACACACAAGCACACUCCCUCUUCUUGUUGUUACCAAGAGUUGCUCCCCCUACCUGCACUGGCCAGGUAAGUUGGAUGGGGGAGGGGUGAAGCCACAUUUCUGCAGAUCUGGUUCAGUGCUCCGAUGGUGACAAGACAAAGGGGUCCUCCUGCAAGAUACCUUUGAUUUAUAGUAGCUCCUCUUUCAUGCAAAUCUAUCCUCUUAUGCAUAUGCAAAUCUGUGUUAACAUAUGCAUAUGCAGUCUGCCGCACCUUCUUCUGGGCGUUGUCUUAAUGCUGCCACAUUCAUCUUCAAAGAAGGUGCUUCCAAAAGCCGGCACUUGCUGCUGACUCCCAAGGCAUCCAUCCAUAUGUCCAAUCUUCUUUCCGUGAGUCCACUUAACAGGUCUUAUUGUCCUUGGAUAUCUGGCUUUCAUCCCCACUUCCGAGGUGCUUGCCUUUCACGCCUUAUCCAUUCGCACCUCAUUCAUUCAAUUAAGUAAAGAGGGAGAGAUCUAUUCUGGUCCAAAGACAUUCUCUUUACCUUACUUAUUUUUAGGGACUAUUCUGUCAAGACUUAAUAUGAAGUUUCUAUGUUCUAUAUGAAAAGAUACAAUGUUUCUAUGUAAAAAGACUUACCACCACGUUUCUAUGUUCUAUAUGAAACAGUACAACGUUUCUACAUAAAAGAACCUGAUACAGAGUUCAAAACUUCAAUGGGAAAAUGAUGAAUCCAGAGAUUUAUGAUUAAUACAGAGCUGUGUCUACAAAGAGGACUACUCCAGCCCUCUCUCAACCAGCAACUUGGGGACAGACAGCCUCCAAUACUCCGUGUACCUUUAUAUACCAGACACACGUUUCUAAUCAACCCUGCCUGAUCUUUUGAGAGGAGACGGGGAAGGAAAUGUCUGAAGGACAGGAUCUUUGAUAUUAAAGGGUCCUUCGUUCAUCAUGUACCAGACCGUCUUUUCCAGAGCAUGGAAAGAGAAGUUCCCCAAGGAAUUCAGAUUUCUGGUCUAGGAAGGUUAAUGAUUAAAUAAGUUUCCUGUAUUCAACUAUUUCUCUAUUCAUCAGAAAGCAAAAUACAUUUGUUUCAUAUGUCCAGCACAAUUUGGCGAGGGUAGGUGGUAGAGCAGAGGUGGGCAAUAAUUUUUGUUGGGAGGGGCCACUCGAAGAAUUUGGUAAGUUGUCACGGGCUGCGGUCUUCCAUGAUAUUAAUGGAGGAGGUAUGGGAUUUGUGAUAGAGUUUGGGUG